GAGGAGAAGGCUUAAGAGUCGCUGGCACAUGCAUUGACCUUUGGUGAUGAGCAUAGUAUGCCUUGUCGAACAGAAUCGAGACGACGUUGCUGAGCGUGAAUUGCAAUCACGCCAAUUCAGAUCAUGAAAUUCGGCCAACACAUGUUAUGGUCACUAACUGAAGCAAUGUUAUGGCUGGUUGCCAGCUGCGUCCUUGCUGUUGAGUCGCCCUGCAAUGUCCUCAACUACACAAUGUCUCGAUACUUUGUUGCAAAAACAAUGUGCGUUACCUGCCUCACAAUUCCUGUCUUGUCCUUCGGUUAUUGAUUACUACACCUUCGUCAAUUUCAUUGUCCGGAAGCAGGUAAUCAAUCUAAGAGCACCCACUAAAAUCACAUUAUAUUUGUGUCAUAUACAUCCUACUCCAUUCUUGGUGCAUGACAUAUUCUACUUCACGCGUGUUGUCAAGGGAAAUCGAUGGUCGACGAUCAAUAUGAAGUGAGCAAGUUAUACUUAUUCCCUGUCUUUAGUUGAUAGUUUCUGCAUAUGACAAUCAACGAAUUAAACCAGUUAAUAGCCUGCUCAGAUUUAAUAAAUUGAGAAUUUCUUUGUUUCUUGGAAAUGUUGAUGUCGUUGCUUUGUCUCUGAUAGUGGAAAGAGUUCAUUGUUUGUUUUGAACUUGCAUAAGAAUUGAUGGAAUGCUCAUGGAGCAGUGAGUAGUGCUAGAAUUUCAAAGCUUCUCCUCCGUGAAGUUUCAAUAGCCUCGCAAGUAAUUUCAUUCCUUACCAAUGCAUUUGGCAGCUUGAGAAUCAACCAGCUAGUCAUUGCAUCACAACCCUUCAAACCUAACCAGUUUGCACUAGGGCUUACUAAUGGCAGCGUCCAUGUACUUGAGCUAUUGGAAUCUAAAGGAGAGUCAGGUACUUUUCCUCCUGUUGAAAAUGGUGCUGGGCCUAGCACGACCUUUGGCGCAACCGGUCUAGAUCGACUGCAAAGGUAGUGUAGGCCAUGUCUCUUCCUAUGAAACUUUUUGAGUAUUAAAAUGCUGAGUCGGUUUCGUCCGCUGCACUUGAUUCAAAUUUUGAGAGGAUGCUGAAGAGGGUAGAUUUUACCGCCUUGGAGUACUUCCUCGGGACACAGUUCGUGCUCUCUCCCCUAUCUGCCUUUUUUUUUUUUUUUUUUUUUUCAAAAAACCCAUCUGACUCGGGAUUCUAGAUAUCCUCACGGCUGCUGCUUCGCUCCCUCUCUCUUGGUCUCAUCCUCACGCGCUCCCCGCCUUGUUCCGUCAAGUCGCAGGGUCAAGAAGGAGACAAAUUAGGGCUGGGUUUGUUGAGUUUUUUCAAGCCAAUCUAAUGGGCUCUAGUGAAAAAUGAAAUAAUGGAGGUUUGGUACAAGGAUAUUGAACAAGCUGAGGGCUCGACAUGGUAUUGUUUCUGGGCUUUAAUGGGUCUGAGUUAUGCAAGUUGGGCUUAACAAAUGUGCAUGGCCCACGGGCUUGGCUUGGUCGAAUUGGAUCGAGCCCAGCGCAUUUACUGAAUAUCCUCUCCACUUAGUUGAUGAAUUGAAGUCCCUUUUAUGUUUUUGUCUUUUUUUGCGUUUUUCAUUUUGGUUUUAUUCAGUCAUAACAAAAACUGACUGCCUAAAUUGUCAAUUUUGCUUAAAUUUCCAGCCAAAAAUGAGGGUGUCGACUGUAAGUUACUGUAAUCUUGAUUGUGCUAUAAUUGUGAAAUGUUUAUCAAACGCCACCCAUUUUUCAUGGCCGAAAUUGCUGCAUGAAAGGUGUACCAAAUAGUCUUAUAAAUAAAAUGCUUCAUACAUCUAACAUAAAGCAUUUCUACUCUUUCCAAAAUCAUUCAUAUAUUUUCAGGUAGUCGUAAUAUGAAUAAGUUAUAUAAAAAAUGCUAUCGCAGCUAAACCGUUGAUUCGAAAUCUUCAAGCAAAUAAUUAUGGAAGGAGAUUGCCAAUGCCAUUGGGAGGCAAUUUGCUAAAAGAAGCAUUUCUAAGAGGUAUAAUAAGUUAAAAUUCAACAAAAUGCAAAUCGAUUGGUGGUGCUUAAUCAUGUAAAUGAAAAAGCGAUACUAAUAUAAAUAAACCAAGACUUACUGACAGAAUCAAAAUUUCAUUUUCAUCUCAUGUUGCCAUAUAAACUUGUUAUUUUGUUCCGAAAAAGAGUCCAUUUAAAUGUGUGUUUAACUUGCCACAUAAUUCUCAUUUAGCGGUCAAGCAUAUGCAUACAUACUUAUUUCCAUCUUUGACUGGGCUUGUUACUCUUCUUGGCUAGGGUUGACUGCUCCAAAGCCACGGGUAACAUUAUAUAUCUGUUCUCCCACGUCAAGUAUCUUUUCAUCUUUCAACUUUUGUUUUUUAGUUAAGUCAUCCUUCGACUUUAGCGUAGUGUUAUCUUGCAUAUGCAAAGAAAGCAUAUGCGUGCUUCAUUCAUGUCAAAUUAGAAGGGAGGACUAAGUUUUCAAAUGGCUUUUAAUUGACUGAACUCGUCUAUAAGUCGCAAUGAUGCUUAUAUAGGGAGAUUAGCCCCCAUAACUUGAAUGAAAAUGAACAAGACGAGUUUACUUCAAAAUGCCGUAUAAUUAUUCUCUACAAAGCAAAUGAUGUAUGGAUAUUGAGGUAUACAUUGCUUGACAUGUGAACCUCAAAUAAGCAUUGUGUCUGUCAAAUGCGUAUUCUUUUCUUUUUAUUUUCUAUUUUAUGGAAGUUGGAAAUUUCAACAAAACACAUUAUGAACAACCAAUUGAACUAUUAGUGAAAUUAAUAAAAUUUCAAUGUUACAACAGUAUCAAUUAAAUUUUAGUCUCGAAACACCAUGGAAUAACAUGCAAAUUUUACUAGUGUAUAAAAAAGUACUUUAAACUCGAACAAUCUCUAAAGCAGGAGCACUGAAAGGUUAAAGGGGAAGAAAAUUACAGAUGAAACAAAUAUUAAUGGAGGGACCAAAUAAGAGAGAGUUGACCCAUGGAACUUUUUCCACGCUUGGUGCAUUCUAUCCUUUAUCCUUUUUCCCUUAUCUUGUCUCUUUCUUUUCCAUAUUAGAGGUUGUCCCGUCUCGUCACUUUUUUUUCUUUUUCCAAAAAAAGAAUUACCAAUAGCAACAUCAUCUUCUUGCCAUGUCCUCUAACCAAUAUUUAACUUGAAUUGGGUUUUUCCCCUCUAAAGUAUGGCAAAAGGCAGGCAUAUUAACUAUUUGAUAAGUUUUCACUCACCAUGAAUGACUUUUCAUUUUGUCUUUAAUGAUGUGCAAGUUACUGUUCACACAACAAGUGCUGUAUUUCCUAUACCCUCUUCCAACUUUCACCUUUUUACCUCAAAUCACGGCGUGGUUUAAAAGUCCAUGCUAUGUAAACUCUUCCUCUUUACGUUACCAUCCUCAUUUUUUUCUCAUAUUCUCAAAUGUUUUUCCAACCUUCUCUCUCAUGAUCAGCCUAACUUAAAUGAAUUAUGACCGGCACCAACUGGGGCCACUAGGCCUGCAUGAUAGAACUCAGGCGGGCCCACCCCUAAAUUGUGUCUCUGUCUUUGGCUCUCAUUAGUUAAAAUCCUCGCUUAUCCACAAUAGGACAUAUGGCGCCCAAUGGUUUAAUUAAUUUUCGUGGUAACUGGUAACUGGCGCGGAAGCACAAAACUCUAGUAAACAGAAAAAAAAACAAUCUAUUCUUUCCCUUCUUGAGAAAAGGGGCGGCACAAGAAGGAAAGGUCCCUCUGUUUUUCUCAAGGUUUUUUACGUUGACUAAGGGAAAACUCAUGCGCCCAGAAGGGAGGAAGCAGGGGAAAAUGGCUCCAUCUUCCAUCAUCUCCAGCCACCAUAAUAUCUCAAGUUCCGAUUUAGCCACUUGCCUACCACCGCCCAAUCAUUACAAGUUCCAACUCCUUCGCCGGUCGCCGCCGUAGACCAUCAGUCUCGGGAGGAGCACGUUCUGUUGUCACAAGUAAGAGGCCGAGUGUCCGAUUCUCUUGUUAUGAUUAAUAUCAUAGUUUGAUUUUUUUUUUUUUUUUGACUUCGAACAUUAUGUACUGAUUUAGGUCGAGUCUAGUUAUAAAUUUGAGUUCGAAAUGGCUUUGAUCUGUUCCACAACCAAUUCGCCAUAAUCUGUUUGAUGAAAUGAGUCUGAGAUCUUGUUGUGAAUUGAUUCCAGUAAUCGUCCGAUUUGAAAGCACAUUAGUGAUGUUCACUUGAUAUUGUUUGAUUUUGCAAUCUUUAGACGUGAUUAUGAGUAUACGCCAUAGUUGCCAAUAAUGAAACUGACUCUCCGUUUGUUUUCUCAGUGGUUCCUGUGAUCCUUUGGUGAUUGGUGGUGGUCGGUGACACGAGAAGGCUUGGAGUCGCUGGCACACACGUGAUCUUUGGUGAUGAUCAUAGUACGCCCUGUCGAACAGAAUCGAGACGACAUCCCUGAGCGUGAAUUGUGAUCACGCCAAUUCAGAUCACGAACUUUGGCUGACACAUGUUACGCUCACUAACUGGAUCAAUGUUAUGGCUGGUUGCUAGCCACCUCCUUGCCGCUGAUUCACCCCGCAAUGUCCUCAACUGCACAAUGUCUCGAUACUUUGUUGCAAAAACAAUGUGCAUUACCUGCCUCACAAUUCCUGUCUUGUCCUUCGGUUAUUGAUUGCUACACCUUCGUCAAUUUCAUUGUCCAGAAGCAGGUAAUCAAUCUAAGAGCACCCACUAAAAUCACAUUCUAAUUGCGUCAUCUACUUCCU
Molecule: long non-coding RNA, 4695 nt
Filed under: Eucalyptus grandis
Lineage: Eukaryota; Viridiplantae; Streptophyta; Magnoliopsida; Myrtales; Myrtaceae
Description: long non-coding RNA (EGRA_LNC001430)
Source: RNAcentral